RNAcentral lists this ribosomal RNA (503 nucleotides) under Lactiplantibacillus plantarum. RNAcentral describes it as "bacterial SSU rRNA". It matches the Rfam family "Bacterial small subunit ribosomal RNA", at positions 8 to 477 of the family's 1533-position model. Lineage: Bacteria; Bacillati; Bacillota; Bacilli; Lactobacillales; Lactobacillaceae. The record is from RNAcentral.
AGAGUUUGGACCUGGCUCAGGACGAACGCUGGCGGCGUGCCUAAUACAUGCAAGUCGAACGAACUCUGGUAUUGAUUGGUGCUUGCAUCAUGAUUUACAUUUGAGUGAGUGGCGAACUGGUGAGUAACACGUGGGAAACCUGCCCAGAAGCGGGGGAUAACACCUGGAAACAGAUGCUAAUACCGCAUAACAACUUGGACCGCAUGGUCCGAGUUUGAAAGAUGGCUUCGGCUAUCACUUUUGGAUGGUCCCGCGGCGUAUUAGCUAGAUGGUGGGGUAACGGCUCACCAUGGCAAUGAUACGUAGCCGACCUGAGAGGGUAAUCGGCCACAUUGGGACUGAGACACGGCCCAAACUCCUACGGGAGGCAGCAGUAGGGAAUCUUCCACAAUGGACGAAAGUCUGAUGGAGCAACGCCGCGUGAGUGAAGAAGGGUUUCGGCUCGUAAAACUCUGUUGUUAAAGAAGAACAUAUCUGAGAGUAACUGUUCAGGUAUGACGGUA